This 332-nucleotide ribosomal RNA is filed under the name uncultured bacterium. Its description in RNAcentral is "bacterial SSU rRNA". It matches the Rfam family "Bacterial small subunit ribosomal RNA", at positions 29 to 336 of the family's 1533-position model. The record is from RNAcentral.
AGCGAACGCUGGCGGCGUGCUUAACACAUGCAAGUCGAGCGAAGGUGUUUCAAGGGUAACCUUGAGAUACACUUAGCGGCGGACGGGUGAGUAAUACGUGGAUAACUUACCUCUAGGCCUGGGAUAACCCCGGGAAACUGGGGCUAAUACCUGAUAAGACCCACAUUGUCUACGGACGAAAGGGGUGAAAGGUGGCUGUGCAAACAGCUAUCGCCAAAAGAUAGGUUCACGUCCCAUCAGGCAGUUGGUGAGGUAAUGGCUCACCAAACCAAAGACGGGUAGCCGGCCUUGGCGGGUGAACGGCCACACGGGGACUGAGACACGGCCCCGAC